This 886-nucleotide unclassified non-coding RNA is filed under the name Hevea brasiliensis (rubber tree). Lineage: Eukaryota; Viridiplantae; Streptophyta; Magnoliopsida; Malpighiales; Euphorbiaceae. The record is from RNAcentral.
AAAAAAAAAAGAAGAAGAUUCCAUUGAUGGAACGACUUUUAAACAGGAGCUAAUGCGUUUUCAACCUUAACAAAGCCAACUAAAAGAAUUAUUCUUUGUCCUUUUUUAAGAAAUACAGACACAAUUUCUUGAUACCGCAAACAAUAAUACAAAAAUAGGCAAAUAGCACCUUUGUCAGCAAUCAUAAACUCUCAAUUUAGCAGUGUGUUCCUCCCCCAAGAAAUCUCCAGGAACUGGGAGGUGUUCUAUGAAGUAUUUUUGCUUCUUGUCAUUUUAAUGGCAGCAAGCUGUUUAUUUUCAGUUGCGGUGACAGCUAGAAUCUUACCAGGUCUUCAAAAUUUCAGGCAGUUAACUUCUCUCAAAUUGUUUCCGUAUACUCAUAAGUUCAAGGUUGCAAGUGGAGAGCCUGCAUUUUUGAAGUAAGCUGAGAGAUCUACAUGCAGGUCAUCAUACAUGUUCAUGAAGGGAUGUGUCAUAAGUUCAUUUGCUGACAGUCUGUCAUUUGGGUCUUUCUGCACACAUGAAGAUACAAAUGAGCAAAACUCUGGAGAAAAUUGGUCAGAAGAUGCACAAGGUUGUGGUUGAUCAACAACAGCUUCCAUAAGCUCAUAAACACUGGCCCAACCUACAUCCUGCUCCAAAGGGGAAUAUGGAAAUUGACCAGUUGCAAACUCCAGCAGUACUAAACCAAGGCUCCAAAUAUCACUUUUGCUGCCAUACUGUCGCCCACUAAUUCUCUCAGGAGACAUAUAAUUGUAUGUACCAACAAAAGUAUUUGCCUGUCCAGAGGUGCUUGCCAAUAUAGCACUCACACCAAAGUCGGUAAUUUUGACUUCUCCUCUAUGAUUUAUUAAUAGAUUAGAAGGUUUUAAGUCCCUGUGGAUAA